UACGUAGGGUGCGAGCGUUGUCCGGAAUUAUUGGGCGUAAAGGGCUCGUAGGCGGUCUGUCGCGUCGGGAGUGAAAACUCAGGGCUUAACCCUGAGCCUGCUUCCGAUACGGGCAGACUAGAGGUAUGCAGGGGAGAACGGAAUUCCUGGUGUAGCGGUGAAAUGCGCAGAUAUCAGGAAGAACACCCGUGGCGAAGGCGGCUCUCUGGAACGCAACUGACGCUGAGACGCGAAAGCGUGGGGAGCAAACAGG
Molecule: ribosomal RNA, 253 nt
Filed under: uncultured bacterium
Lineage: Bacteria
Description: partial 16S ribosomal RNA
Rfam family: Bacterial small subunit ribosomal RNA
Source: RNAcentral